UUGCAAACCCCAUACCCACAACUAUACUCAUCAUUCCUUUCAGAGAAAUGGCCCAACCAUCAACUCCGGGACCCAAAUUCUGCCUCAGGUUAGAAAAGUAUUUCACAGUCCUGCCAGAGAAAAUAAGGGCUACAUUGGCCCCCAGUCCAAACAAUGGGUAGAAUCGUUUUGCUUCCUCGAUAGUAGUUAUCUUCAGAGAGAGAAAAAAAACAUUUCUAUUAGAUUUGUCGAGAAGAAGAAAUGCAUAAAACCAUGUAAAUCUAUCUGCUUUAAAUUUAUUAUAAUUUAUAUAAUAUAUUCACUUUAUCAUGUUGGUCAAAUAAAAUUGAAGAUUCAAGUAUUCAACAUUUAACCCCACCAUGCCGUCACAUGAUAGCAUGAUAAUUUCGUAAGAGUUUAUGCAUGGUAUCGCAAAUGAAGCAAGAAGCCAACAACCAUCAUUGCUGUUUUACAAAAAACAUAUGGACUUCACAGUCCUACACUCAAAUCUGAAUGAAUUGUCCAAAAAGAGAACAAAUGAAUGACUAAAUUAUGCUAAAUUGCAAGUAAAAAACACAUUAACAAAAAUCAUCCACUAACCAAGUCAUCUGACAAGUGCUUUCGAUUCAGCUAAAGAAACCAAUAGAUUCAACACAGUAAAAACAGAGAAACAGAGACAGACUUCAGAAGAUGUCAUGUGUUUAAGUGCAUUUUGGUUUCACAUUGAUCAAGUUAAACAUGGAUCCAGUUACUUUGAAUAGUUUUUCAUUGUUCAAAUUCAAAACGUGGAUCCGAGACUUUAAACGUCAAAUCAAUCAGGACCUGAUUCCAUCAUUGCAUUCAUUGACAUUUUAGUUAUACGAAGUUAUAAACUAAUUUACCAUUUCUUCCAAAUGCAACAGCAACCAGUAUCUGCAGUUCCAAACACUCAAAUUGCUAAAGGAUGGAAAAUGCAUGUGGAAAAAUGUUAAGAAAUGACUAAUUCUUAAAAUUGAAUAAACAUAACCAUGUUUCCAUCCAUCUCUAAACAAUCAACAGAUGUACUAUAAGGCUAAGUCAGUAAACCAAACAUACAAAUCUGAAGAAUAAACACAGAUGAAAAGUAAAACAAUUGAAUACCUAAUCGUGAUGAUCGACGAAUAAAUUAACCAUAUCUAAAUUCCAUUAACAGGAAAUCCAAGGAAAAUCAAGAUGUCAUGCCCUGCCAUGCAUGCUUAUGACAGCAGAAUAAAAAAUCAUAACCCGAUACUAUCACACAUAAUCAAAGAAUCAAUCAAAAAAAGUCAGUUAACAAAACAGAAUCAAUUACCUGAUUAGCAAACCCCCAAAAGAGCACAGAAACGACGACACUCCCCCACAACUCAGCCAUGACAUAGAACAAACAGAAACUCCAAAUUCUCAUGAUCGCCAGGGGACCGAGGAACCUUGGUCCGAGGAUGUUGAGAAGCUUAUCCGCAAACGCCUCGGGGUGAAUAUAGCUGCUGAGAGGGUACAGCACAAACCCGAAAGCCCCAAAAAAAGCAAUGAAGGGAAGAAUCACGGAGUAGAAAAGAGCUUGCUUUGACAAAACAUUGGCCAACUUGGUGUACAACAACAUGAACCCAAUAGCCAUGGGAAGGUUCACCCAAGUUUUGAGAAACG
This 1620-nucleotide long non-coding RNA is filed under the name Phaseolus vulgaris (common bean). Its description in RNAcentral is "long non-coding RNA (PVUL_LNC000944)". The record is from RNAcentral. Lineage: Eukaryota; Viridiplantae; Streptophyta; Magnoliopsida; Fabales; Fabaceae.